Tribolium castaneum (red flour beetle) is the source of this 580-nucleotide long non-coding RNA. RefSeq lists it as uncharacterized. The transcript has 3 exons. The record is from RefSeq and is a predicted model, not a curated record. NCBI's taxonomy places the organism in Eukaryota, Metazoa, Arthropoda, Insecta, Coleoptera, Tenebrionidae.
UUUUUAAUUUUUAAGUAAAUAGUAAUUGUUACACACACCCCACACAUUUAAGCCGGCCGUUUCAUGUCUUAAAAUGAAGAGGUGUGCUCGUUGUGGGAACAUUAAUUCUUUUCAUGUGUAUGGUUAUUCAGCAAUUCGUCUGUCUAACCAAAGGAAGAUUAGAUACAUUUCAUUCAAAAAAAAGCUUUUCUUUAUUUGUGUCUACUUUUACAGGUAAUUUGAAACAAGGCGCCCUACUUGGAAUUCAUUAGAUGGUGAUAAGUAACGGUGAGGGUGCCUUGGCUUGGAUUUUUAUAAGCUGAUAAGUAACGGUGAGGGUGCCUUGGCUUGGAUUUUUAUAAGCUGGUGAGUAAAAUUGCAUUAUUUGCUUACUUCUUUUUUAAUUAUUGUGUGAUGAUUAAUUUACCGCCCCAGUCUGAAACCGGUGACUGAUUGGUUUGUCUGAUUAUUCAUUUAUUUAUUUUUUUUAAUUUUUUGUUAACUGUUUCAAAAGCAACUUUUUCUUUGUUGCAGGUUCUUGAGGUAAAUAUUCUUCAUAUAUUUCUGUAAUUAAAAAAAUUUGAAUAAAAACGUAAAACAA